Molecule: ribosomal RNA, 433 nt
Filed under: uncultured bacterium
Lineage: Bacteria
Description: partial 16S ribosomal RNA
Rfam family: Bacterial small subunit ribosomal RNA
Source: RNAcentral
AACGAACGCUGGCGGCAUGCCUAACACAUGCAAGUCGAACGAAACCUUCGGGUCUAGUGGCGCACGGGUGCGUCACGCGUGGGAACCUGCCCUUAGGUUCGGAAUAACUCCCCGAAAGGGGUGCUAAUACCGGAUAAUGUCUUCGGACCAAAGAUUUAUCGCCUUUGGAGGUGCCCGCGUUGGAUUAGCUAGUUGGUAGGGUAAAAGCCUACCAAGGCGACGAUCCAUAGCUGGUCUGAGAGGAUGAUCAGCCACACUGGGACUGAGACACGGCCCAGACUCCUACGGGAGGCAGCAGUGGGGAAUAGUGGACAAUGGGCGAAAGCCUGAUCCAGCAAUGCCGGGUGAGUGAUGAAGGCAGUAGGGUUGUAAAGCUCUUUUACCCGGGAUGAUAAUGACAGUACCGGGAGAAUAAGCCCCGGCUAACUCCGUG